RNAcentral lists this ribosomal RNA (253 nucleotides) under uncultured bacterium. Its description in RNAcentral is "partial 16S ribosomal RNA". It matches the Rfam family "Bacterial small subunit ribosomal RNA", at positions 524 to 776 of the family's 1533-position model. The record is from RNAcentral.
AACGUAGGAGACAAACGUUAUCCGGAGUUACUGGGCGUAAAGGGCGUGUAGGCGGUUUGUUAAGUCUGGCGUGAAAGCUCUCGGCUAAACCGGGAGAGGUCGUUGGAUACUGGCAAACUAGAGGACGGUAGAGGCGUGUGGAAUUCCGGGUGUAGUGGUGAAAUGCGCAGAUAUCAGGAGGAACACCGGUGGCGAAGGCGGGUCUCUGGGCCGUAACUGGCGCUGAGGAGCGAAAGCGUGGGGAGCGAACAGG